Molecule: transfer RNA, 73 nt
Filed under: Buchnera aphidicola (Schlechtendalia chinensis)
Lineage: Bacteria; Pseudomonadati; Pseudomonadota; Gammaproteobacteria; Enterobacterales; Erwiniaceae
Rfam family: tRNA
About the family: Transfer RNA (tRNA) molecules are approximately 80 nucleotides in length. Their secondary structure includes four short double-helical elements and three loops (D, anti-codon, and T loops).
Source: Rfam by way of RNAcentral
GUGACCAUAGCUCAGCUGGUAGAGUCCUGGAUUGUGAUUCCAGAUGUCAUGGGUUCAAAUCCCAUUGGUCACC